Molecule: small RNA, 583 nt
Filed under: Pongo abelii (Sumatran orangutan)
Lineage: Eukaryota; Metazoa; Chordata; Mammalia; Primates; Hominidae
Description: retained intron
Source: RNAcentral
GAUAGAGGACACGAUCAAGAUGGCGGCGGUGUCUGGCUUGGUGCGGAGACCCCUUCGGGAGGUCUCCAGGCUGCUGAAGAGGCGCUUUCACUGGACCGCGCCGGCUGCGCUGCAGGUGACAGUUCGUGAUGCUAUAAAUCAGGGUAUGGAUGAGGAGCUGGAAAGAGAUGAGAAGGUAUUUCUGCUUGGAGAAGAAGUUGCCCAGUACGAUGGGGCAUACAAGGUUAGUCGAGGGCUGUGGAAGAAAUAUGGAGACAAGAGGAUUAUUGACACUCCCAUAUCAGAGAUGGGCUUUGCUGGAAUUGCUGUAGGUGCAGCUAUGGUAUGUAAUACUCUUUAUGAAACUUAUCCAAAGACAUUUCUUGUUGUUUUUUUUUUUUUAUUUUGAGAUAGAGUCUCAUUCUGUUGCCCAGCCUGGAGUGCACUGGCACCAUCUCAGCUUCCAGGUUCAAGCGAUUCUCCUGCCUCAGCCUCCAUAGUGGCUGGGAUUACAGGUUGCGCCACCGUGCCCAGCUAAUUUUUGUGUUUUUAGUGGAGAUGGGGUUUUACCAUGUUGGCCAGGCUGGUUUCGAACUCCUGGCCU